RNAcentral lists this ribosomal RNA (490 nucleotides) under Fusarium tricinctum. Its description in RNAcentral is "eukaryotic LSU rRNA". The stretch from base 108 to 261 matches the Rfam family "5.8S ribosomal RNA". The record is from RNAcentral. Lineage: Eukaryota; Fungi; Ascomycota; Sordariomycetes; Hypocreales; Nectriaceae.
GCCUCGGCGGAUCAGCCCGCGCCCCGUAAAACGGGACGGCCCGCCAGAGGACCCAAACUCUAAUGUUUCUUAUUGUAACUUCUGAGUAAAACAAACAAAUAAAUCAAAACUUUCAACAACGGAUCUCUUGGUUCUGGCAUCGAUGAAGAACGCAGCAAAAUGCGAUAAGUAAUGUGAAUUGCAGAAUUCAGUGAAUCAUCGAAUCUUUGAACGCACAUUGCGCCCGCUGGUAUUCCGGCGGGCAUGCCUGUUCGAGCGUCAUUUCAACCCUCAAGCCCCCGGGUUUGGUGUUGGGGAUCGGCUCUGCCCUUCUGGGCGGUGCCGCCCCCGAAAUACAUUGGCGGUCUCGCUGCAGCCUCCAUUGCGUAGUAGCUAACACCUCGCAACUGGAACGCGGCGCGGCCAUGCCGUAAAACCCCAACUUCUGAAUGUUGACCUCGGAUCAGGUAGGAAUACCCGCUGAACUUAAGCAUAUCAAUAAGCGGAGGAA